RNAcentral lists this ribosomal RNA (433 nucleotides) under uncultured bacterium. RNAcentral's name for it is "partial 16S ribosomal RNA". It matches the Rfam family "Bacterial small subunit ribosomal RNA", at positions 29 to 507 of the family's 1533-position model. The record is from RNAcentral.
AACGAACGCUGGCGGCAUGCCUAACACAUGCAAGUCGAACGAGACCUUCGGGUCUAGUGGCGCACGGGUGCGUAACGCGUGGGAACCUGCCCUUAGGUUCGGAAUAACUCCCCGAAAGGGGUGCUAAUACCGGUUAAUGUCUUCGGACCAAAGAUUUAUCGCCUUUGGAUGGGCCCGCGUUGGAUUAGCUUGUUGGUAGGGUAAAAGCCUACCAAGGCGACGAUCCAUAGCUGGUCUGAGAGGAUGAUCAGCCACACUGGGACUGAGACACGGCCCAGACUCCUACGGGAGGCAGCAGUGGGGAAUAUUGGAAAAUGGGCGAAAGCCUGAUCCAGCAAUGCCGCGUGAGUGAUGAAGGCCUUAGGGUUGUAAAGCUCUUUUACCCGGGAUGAUAAUGACAGUACCGGGAGAAUAAGCUCCGGCUAACUCCGUG